This 515-nucleotide ribosomal RNA is filed under the name uncultured bacterium. RNAcentral describes it as "bacterial SSU rRNA". It matches the Rfam family "Bacterial small subunit ribosomal RNA", at positions 32 to 518 of the family's 1533-position model. The record is from RNAcentral.
AACGCUGGCGGCGUGCCUAAUACAUGCAAGUCGAACGGUCUUUCUAUGGAAGCUUGCUUCCACUGAGAAGAUAGUGGCGGACGGGUGAGUAACACGUGGGUAACCUGCCCAUAAGAGGGGGGAUAACAUCCGGAAACGGGUGCUAAUACCGCAUAGUUUUCUUGAUCGCAUGAUUGAGAAAGGAAAGACGGCCUUUGUGCUGUCGCUUAUGGAUGGACCCGCGGCGUAUUAGUUAGUUGGUGAGGUAAUGGCUCACCAAGACGAUGAUACGUAGCCGACCUGAGAGGGUGAUCGGCCACAUUGGGACUGAGACACGGCCCAAACUCCUACGGGAGGCAGCAGUAGGGAAUCUUCCGCAAUGGACGAAAGUCUGACGGAGCAACGCCGCGUGAGUGAAGAAAAGGUUUUCGGAUCGUAAAACUCUGUUGUCAGAGAAGAACAAGUUGGAGAGUAACUGCUCCAGCCUUGACGGUAUCUGACCAGAAAGCCACGGCUAACUACGUGCCAGCCGCGGC